GUCAGGCGUGGUGGUGCAUGUCUGUAAUCCCAGCUGCUUGGGAGGCUGAGGCAGGAGCAUUCAAAGCCAGCUUCAAAAGUGAGGCACUAAGCAACUCAGUGAGACCUGUCUCUA
This 114-nucleotide small RNA is filed under the name Marmota monax (woodchuck). The record is from RNAcentral. Lineage: Eukaryota; Metazoa; Chordata; Mammalia; Rodentia; Sciuridae.